CCCCCAAAGUGCUGGGAUCCCAGGUGUGAGCCACCAUGCCUAGCAACAAUGGCAAACUGUCAGUAAAAAGAAUGAGCCGACAAACCAAGAAGCCAGGCAACCUCCAGGGAAAUGGCCGCCAGGGCCGCCCGAGUCCAGCUGCUGGGGUGGAGGGGAAGGGCACAGUGCUGGCCGGGCAGACGGGCUGGGUGACAGGGCGUUUAAGGGAUCGAAAGAAAGAGAAGGUCCCCAGCAAGGGUGGCCUCCGUCGUGGCUCUUCCCACCCACCUCUGUACACUCGGGCUGCGAAAAGCCGACUGGAAAGGACACAGCCCGCAAAGCUGUCCUUCGGAGGGGAAGGCAGCUGGCUCCUGUACAGAACGGGCGGAGCGUCUGGAGAAGCCGCUCGAGUUAGGGACAGAGCGAGCUGAAAGGAGCUUGCCACGGCCGGGAAAGGGAAGGAAGUCACGUGAGGGCGCCAGGGGAGGGGGGCAGGGCCCGAGGACCAAGGGCCGCUUUCUUGAGCUAGCAGCUUCGUGCUCGAGAGAAGGGAAUAUGAACUGGACGUGAAGAGCACAAAGGAGAGAUGACACACGAUGACAGGAAGGCAGAGCAAGUUUGCAGAGGGGAGGAAGCACGCUGAAGCCCAAAUCAGCACCGUCACACGUCUGAAAACUCACUUCCCACACAGGACACGCCUGAGAGGCAAGUGAACAGCGUGGGACAGAAACUUGAAAUAAUCAUAAUGAAUUCAGAGAAAAAGGACAAAUAAAUUAAAUCUGCUGGACUGGAUUCCCUGAAGUCGGUUAUCCAACAGCCAAAAACAAAGAACCAACUCUGCGGACGGAAGGGACAUAAAUACAUACCAGGGACACGGGUUCAGCAUGAUGGACCUCAGAACAUGCCGGCUAAGCUGCUGAACUUUGAGGAUAAAGAAAAAAACCCUCCAGGCACAGAGGAGAGAGAAUCAUGUCACCAACAAGGGGAGGAAAAAAUCGAUCUGGCCUGAGAUUUUUCCUCAGCAACAUUCAAUGCCAGAAGACAAGACAACUGAGUCUUCAACGUUGUAUGGAAAAGGGAAAUCCAAGAGUAUUACGCCCAUUGAAGCUGUUCACAUUUACAGAGAACAUGGAAGAGGUCAGAGAAAAUAGCACCCAUGAGCCCUUUAUGGGAAAAAGGCCAAAACUGUUCGGCAGUGAAAUCCAGGGCAAAAAUCAAUUGCGCCCCGUGGACACAAGUCUUCAGCCUUCCUGUGGACACGCGUCGUCUGCAUUGCUGUGUUUUCUGCAGCUUAGAUGUGCUGAGAGACGGUGGAAGACGCGGGCACCCUACAGAAUCAGAUGAGCCAGCUCCAUGUGCCACAGGACGCUCCGGUAACAUUUUGGAGGGGGGUCCAUUUCAAAGUGUUUCCCAGAUUUUUCUGAUACAAUCAUUAGAUGACUCAAAACGGAAAACUCAGGGACAAAAUGUGGUUAAAAACCAGAAUGGAAAAAAAAAAAAAAAAGAACAGAAUCUAUUAAAAAACAGGA
Microcebus murinus (gray mouse lemur) is the source of this 1508-nucleotide non-coding RNA. The record is from RefSeq and is a predicted model, not a curated record. Lineage: Eukaryota; Metazoa; Chordata; Mammalia; Primates; Cheirogaleidae.